AUGACGCGGCGCCGGGUCGCCGCCGCAGAUUCGACACAAAACCCGGAAGGACCCAGCCGAAGGUUUUCUCCGGUUCGGGCAAGAGACGGGGUCCCGCUCUGUCACCCAGGCUGCCAGACUGGCGUACAGUGGUGCAAUCUCAGCUCACUGCAACCUGCACCUCCUGGGUUCAAGUGAUUUUCUUGUCUCUGCCUCCUGAGUAGCUGGGAUUACUGGCACACACCACCAUGCACUGGGAGACAUGAGACAUCAAUCAAUAUAUGUAAGCUGUACAUCAGUUUCGUCUGGAAAGAUGGGACAACAUGAAGCAGGGAGGGGGCUCCCAGGUCACAGUUGCGGGAAUUUAGCCAAUUCAGAGGUCUUGUUCUCCAUAAUCUGGAACUUUCCUUCAGAUUUGAUCAAGUUGGAUAAAGUUGGUCAAACCCAAUGGGAAAAAGAUGAAAACAACAAGAAACAGAAACAAACAACAACAACAACAACAAAACAGUUAAGUGAAACAAACAAACAAUCACACAAU
RNAcentral lists this small RNA (517 nucleotides) under Pongo abelii (Sumatran orangutan). RNAcentral's name for it is "retained intron". The record is from RNAcentral. Lineage: Eukaryota; Metazoa; Chordata; Mammalia; Primates; Hominidae.